RNAcentral lists this ribosomal RNA (383 nucleotides) under uncultured eukaryote. Its description in RNAcentral is "partial 18S ribosomal RNA". It matches the Rfam family "Eukaryotic small subunit ribosomal RNA", at positions 592 to 976 of the family's 1831-position model. The record is from RNAcentral.
CAAUAGCGUAUAUUAAAGUUGUUGCAGUUAAAAAGCUCGUAGUUGGAUUUCUGGUGGGAGCGAUCGGUCUGGCGCUUUGCGCGAGUACUUGCAUCGUCUCCGGCCAUCCUUGGGGAGAGUCUGUCUGGCAUUAAGUUGUCGGGCAGAGGAUCCUCAUCGUUUACUGUGAAAAAAUUAGAGUGUUCAAAGCAGGCUUAUGCCGUUGAAUAUAUUAGCAUGGAAUAAUAAGAUAGGACUUUGGUACUAUUUUGUUGGUUUGCGCACCAAAGUAAUGAUUAAUAGGGACAGUUGGGGGUAUUCGUAUUCCGUUGUCAGAGGUGAAAUUCUUGGAUUUACGGAAGACGAACUACUGCGAAAGCAUUUACCAAGGAUGUUUUCAUUAA